This 433-nucleotide ribosomal RNA is filed under the name uncultured bacterium. RNAcentral describes it as "partial 16S ribosomal RNA". It matches the Rfam family "Bacterial small subunit ribosomal RNA", at positions 29 to 507 of the family's 1533-position model. The record is from RNAcentral.
AACGAACGCUGGCGGCAUGCCUAACACAUGCAAGUCGAACGAGACCUUCGGGUCUAGUGGCGCACGGGUGCGUAACGCGUGGGAACCUGCCCUUAGGCUCGGAAUAACUCCCCGACAGGGGUGCUAAUACCGGAUAAUUUCUUCUGACCAAAGAUUGAUCGCCCUUGGAUGGGCCCGCGUUGGAUUAGCUUGUUGGUAGGGUAAAAGCCUACCAAGGCGACGAUACAUAGCUGGUCUGAGAGGAUGAUCAGCCACACUGGGACUGAGACACGGCCCAGAAUCUUACGGGAGGCAGCAGUGGGGAAUAUAGGACAAUGGGGGAAAGCAUGAUCCAGCAAUGCCGCGUGAGUGAUGAAGGCCUUAGGGUAGUAAAGCUCUUUUACCCGGGAUGAUAAUGACAGUACCGGGAGAAUAAGCUCCGGCUAACUCCGUG